Molecule: ribosomal RNA, 183 nt
Filed under: Acartia tonsa
Lineage: Eukaryota; Metazoa; Arthropoda; Copepoda; Calanoida; Acartiidae
Description: partial 16S ribosomal RNA
Source: RNAcentral
UUUGGGGUAAAUUUAAAUAGGACUAUUNUAUAUUAACAAUGAUCUUUAUUAAAUUAGACGAAUAAGGUACUCUAGGGAUAACAGCGUUAUAAUUAUUUAAGCCCUUAUUAAAAUAAUUGUUUGCGACCUCGAUGUUGAAUUGCCGCUANNCANNUAGUGCAGAAGCUAUUUUCACANAGGUCU